CAGGAAUCGAACGAAUACUUUGUGUAGAAGAUGGGAUACUUUUUGUGAUCGCUUCGAACGGAUUUUCAGUGACUGUGGCUUUAUCUUUAUGAACGAAGGCCUAGGAAUAUCAGAACUGAAAUGAAUGAAGAAAAUUGCCAAUAGACAGUAACUACAUAUUUUUCUGAAAUUCGAAGACGGGAGUCUUGGUAACAGCUACUGAGGAAUGAGCAGAACUGGGCUCAACAUGAAACUAGAUGAACCAAGUCCAGCCACAGGAUCGGUUCGUCUGCAAUGACGUGGACGUCCAGAUCAUGUCCAGUGUUCCACAUCAUUCAGUAGCUGUAAUGGAUGUUACCGCUGGCGAUGCAGUCACUGGUGCAGUAGUCAUUGGUGAUGCCAUAGUAGAACCCCAAAAAACAUGAUCAUAGAUGUUAAUAAUGUUUAUGUCGGCUGGACCGAAGCAUGGUUGAAAACUGCAGACAUCUAGAACAGAAGUUCCAAUUGUGUUCUUCCAGCAAUGGCUGACUAAUCUCAGGGCAUUUUCAAGCAAGAGUUGUGAAGAAUACAUUUUGAAUACUGAUGUGAACCUAAAAUUUGCAAUAUCCGACAUUAUCUCAGGAAGUGACAGAAAUAUGUGGCAGCUGCUAUCCUGCAAACUACUCCUACGCUUAAAGUCAGCCUCUUCUAGUCUUGCUUUUGAAGAACUAGUGACUUAAAGUCAGCCUCUUCUAGUCUUACUUUUGAAGAACUAGUGACUUAAAGUUGUCACCUUGUUACUGAUUGUUAAAACCAGUUUUCAUGCAGAACAAGCCAUCUGUUAGUUAAUUUAAAAAAAAAAAAAAAAAAUUUAAAAAUGUUUUCUGUAAUUCUUUGGAGAUUAAUAUUAUUAAACUACACUGGAGAUUAACAUUAUUGCAGGACAUAUUUUAGAGAUUAAUUUUAAAAGACAUUGGAGGUUAAUAUUGCAAAAAAUUGGAGAUUGACUUUGGAGAUUAUUACUGGAGAUUAGCACUGGAGUUUAGAGAUUAGCAUUCAACAUUAAGAUUGAAGAUUGGAAAGUUGUAUUAGAGAUUAGCAUUGGACAUUAUCGCUGACGACAAGUGUUGUUUUAACAAAUUGGAGAUUAAUGUUGUUGCAAGACAUUGGAGGUUAACAUUACAAGACUUUGGAGGUUAAUGCUAAAGACUGGAAAACAGCAUUGAUACAUUAAAAACUAUUGGAAAUUACUGUUGUACAGCAAGAGAUAUCAGAGCUUAAAAUUGUUUAAAAUAUUUCUGAAGAAAAUUUUGAAAAAAA
Long non-coding RNA from Gigantopelta aegis, 1278 nucleotides. RefSeq lists it as uncharacterized. The record is from RefSeq and is a predicted model, not a curated record. The transcript has 3 exons. NCBI's taxonomy places the organism in Eukaryota, Metazoa, Mollusca, Gastropoda, Neomphalida, Peltospiridae.